RNAcentral lists this non-coding RNA (21 nucleotides) under Mus musculus (house mouse). The record is from miRBase by way of RNAcentral. Lineage: Eukaryota; Metazoa; Chordata; Mammalia; Rodentia; Muridae.
AUCUCCCUCCCAACUCCCCAG